RNAcentral lists this ribosomal RNA (270 nucleotides) under uncultured bacterium. RNAcentral's name for it is "partial 16S ribosomal RNA". It matches the Rfam family "Bacterial small subunit ribosomal RNA", at positions 28 to 295 of the family's 1533-position model. The record is from RNAcentral.
GAUGAACGCUAGCGGCAGGCUUAAUACAUGCAAGUCGUGGGGCAGCGCGGGUAGCAAUACCUGGCGGCGACCGGCAAACGGGUGCGGAACACGUACGCAACCUUCCUUCAAGUGGGGAAUAGCCCAGGGAAACUUGGAUUAAUACCCCGUAAUACUAUGAGGUGGCAUCACCUUAUACUUAUAGCUCCGGCGCUUGAAGAUGGGCGUGCGCCUGAUUAGGUAGUUGGCGGGGUAACGGCCCACCAAGCCUACGAUCAGUAACUGGUGUGA